This is a long non-coding RNA of Danaus plexippus (monarch butterfly), 451 nucleotides long. RefSeq lists it as uncharacterized. The record is from RefSeq and is a predicted model, not a curated record. The transcript is spliced from 2 exons. NCBI's taxonomy places the organism in Eukaryota, Metazoa, Arthropoda, Insecta, Lepidoptera, Nymphalidae.
GUAACAAUUGAGACGACAUAUUAACAUAUAUUCAGUGAUUUUCGGCCAUAUGGAACAUAAUAAGAACAAUGGACGAUGUGUGAUUUGUGGAUGUGAUGAGAACCAAGCUCGUCUUCACUGAAUGAUAUAAUUUCCCAAACAGAUGUCUGGUUUCAAGGCAUGAUAAACCUUUGGUCAUCGCCAUAUCGAAAGUAUAUUUGAUACAAAUUAAAUUAAAUAUCACACAACAGAUCGGUCCAUGGGACUGGCUUUACAAAAUCAGUUGUUUUUGUACAUUCUGAAAGAACUAAGUUUAUAUGUCUUAAAUGUUUUUAUGACCUAGUAACUGUAAAAAAAAUAUGUUCAGAAUGUACUCAUUUAAGGUGGAAUGUAAUUGUUAUUUUUUCAAAACUAUUUUGACUACAGCCGACGAUAACCAUCCACCAAUAAAUAUAUGAUUGUAGACAUACCA